Molecule: ribosomal RNA, 253 nt
Filed under: uncultured bacterium
Lineage: Bacteria
Description: partial 16S ribosomal RNA
Rfam family: Bacterial small subunit ribosomal RNA
Source: RNAcentral
UACGGGGGGGGCAAGCGUUGUUCGGAAUUACUGGGCGUAAAGGGCGCGUAGGCGGCCUGCUAAGUCACACGUGAAAUCCCUCGGCUCAACCGGGGAACUGCGUGUGAUACUGGCGGGCUUGAAUUCGGGAGAGGGAUGUGGAAUUCCAGGUGUAGCGGUGAAAUGCGUAGAUAUCUGAAGGAACACCGGUGGCGAAGGCGGCAUCCUGGACCGAGAUUGACGCUGAGGCGCGAAAGCUAGGGGAGCAAACGGG